RNAcentral lists this ribosomal RNA (828 nucleotides) under uncultured bacterium. Its description in RNAcentral is "bacterial SSU rRNA". It matches the Rfam family "Bacterial small subunit ribosomal RNA", at positions 66 to 884 of the family's 1533-position model. The record is from RNAcentral.
GGGGAGCGAAGCUUGCUUUGCUCCGCCGGCGACCGGCGCACGGGUGAGUAACGCGUAUGCAACCUGCCCGUUUCAGCGGGAUAACCCGGAGAAAUCCGGCCUAAUACCGCAUGUGGCCGAGGGAAGGCAUCUUCUUUCGGCCAAAGGAGGCGACUCCGGAGACGGAUGGGCAUGCGUGACAUUAGCUUGUUGGCGGGGUAACGGCCCACCAAGGCGACGAUGUCUAGGGGUUCUGAGAGGAAGGUCCCCCACACUGGUACUGAGACACGGACCAGACUCCUACGGGAGGCAGCAGUGAGGAAUAUUGGUCAAUGGGCGAGAGCCUGAACCAGCCAAGUCGCGUGAAGGAUGACGGCCCUACGGGUUGUAAACUUCUUUUGUCAGGGAGCAAUUGAGUCCACGUGUGGGCUUAGCGAGAGUACCUGAAGAAAAAGCAUCGGCUAACUCCGUGCCAGCAGCCGCGGUAAUACGGAGGAUGCGAGCGUUAUCCGGAUUUAUUGGGUUUAAAGGGUGCGUAGGCGGAAUAUCAAGUCAGCGGUAAAAAUUCGGGGCUCAACCCCGUCGUGCCGUUGAAACUGAUGUUCUUGAGUGGGCGAGAAGUAUGCGGAAUGCGUGGUGUAGCGGUGAAAUGCAUAGAUAUCACGCAGAACUCCGAUUGCGAAGGCAGCAUACCGGCGCCCAACUGACGCUGAAGCACGAAAGCGUGGGUAUCGAACAGGAUUAGAUACCCUGGUAGUCCACGCAGUAAACGAUGAAUGCUAAUUGUCCGGAGGGAUUGACCUCUGGGUGAUACAGCGAAAGCGUUAAGCAUUCCACCUGGGGAGUACU